Gossypium raimondii (Peruvian cotton) is the source of this 441-nucleotide long non-coding RNA. RefSeq lists it as uncharacterized. The record is from RefSeq and is a predicted model, not a curated record. The transcript is spliced from 3 exons. NCBI's taxonomy places the organism in Eukaryota, Viridiplantae, Streptophyta, Magnoliopsida, Malvales, Malvaceae.
CGUCCAUUUUUAACAAGUUUUCAAUUUCUUCCAUUUUGGUCCCUUCUUCUUCAUUACCAACCCUUUCAAGCUUUAACUUCCAAUUUCCUCCAUGGAUUUUUAGUGAAAUCCCAAGAACAACUUCAUGGCAAGUUAAGUCGUUUGUGAAGUUAGCUAGAAUACAUAUUUGUGGAGAGAGAAAAGAAAAGUUAGGGAUUUGAGAAGGAAGAGAAAGAGAUGAGAAGUGAAGCACAGAUUAGGGAUAAAGGUAAGGGAGUUGCAAAAGAGUGAAGAAGAAGAAAAUGACUCAUCCAAGUAUUAGAUUGUGAAGAUUGUUUUGAAACUUUAGAGUGAAGAUCAAUUCUGACUCAUCUCAUUACAAACCAAGGCUUGGAAGAGAGUACGUUUCGAUUUUUGGCAAUAGUUUAUGGCAUGUACAUAAGGUCAUGUUAACAAUGUUGU